UAGAAAGAGAACAUAACCUGCAAAAAGUUUUAUUUUGGCGGUCUGGGAAUGCGCACGUAUCCACGGGAACUUUGUUGAACUACCUAUUUUUCUGCGAAGUCGUAUUGUUUCAGUGGUGCGCAUUAUAUCUCUAUAUCUCUAAUUUCUUUACCCUGGUAAUAUGUCACUUUUAUUUUUUAUAAUUGAAGGAAAUUAUAGACAAAAGGAAAAGUAUGUCGGCUCGUGAAUCAAAUACAUGGUGUAUUGUGUAGUGUUAUAAGAGAAUGCAACAAAAAUAUAGAUGAAAAACGACACUUCUUUCGUUUUCCAAAAGAACAUGACAGAUGGUUACAAUGGAUACAUGCGUGUGAAAGAUCAGAUUUGAAAGUAAUGGGUGCAGAAUAUGCUUAUCAUACCUAUCAACUAUGCCACUUACAUUUUGAAGAAAAGUAAUAUAGAAUAAACAAGAGUCGAAGUUAUCUUCAUCGAGAUGCUAUACCAACAAUAUUUUUUGGAAAAAAGAGACAAUACGUCCGUUGUGACAACCGUAAUGGAAGAAAAUAGAAAAGAGAUAGAUGAAACUAAUGUACCAAAUAAAAGAAGAAGGAAAGACAAUUUUAAUAUUGUGAAAAGAGUUAUUUGUGAACAACAGGAAAGCAAUACAAGGAUUUUGUCAUUGGUACAAAAUAUAGCCAAAUGUGUACAACAUCAUUCGGCAGUACGAAAACCGGGCUGUUUGCCGAUUACAUCAAUCGUCCAGGUGGAUGCAUUUGAAGAAUUAGACGAAAACGAAUACUCCAACGUUUUUAAUCUUCUCUAAAAACGUGGUUCACGUAAGCCAGCCGCACAAGAGAAUAUUGCACGUAAUUUUUGGAAGGACAGGGCAGAUGCAGACGAUGCAGACUUAACGGACGAGAAUUAGUUUGGUACAGAUUUUGAGAAGAGGUGGAAUACCUGGAUGGUAGAAGAUAAACUAGAGGCUGUAAAAACCGGAUUGGUUGAAAAGUAAUUUGGACGAAUGCACAUUCAUCGCGCGUUACAUCUUACACAGAAGCACAAUUAUAUAAAGUGUUUAAGAAGCAUGGCUUAAUUUAAGUAAGUUCAAUAGAAGAAAAAUUUGACCCUAAUCAACAUGAAGCACUUUCAACAAGUAAGAUCUAUUUUAUGAAGCUUCUUCCUUAGAAUAUAUACCAGCACCUGGUUCUCCAUAUAUAAUUUCAUGAAGAAAACAACAAAAGAUGAAAGUGACAGUUAAAAAGAGUCUGUGGAUGCUGUUAUGACAGGUAUCGAUGCUCAAGUGAAACAAAAUAAAUAUGUGACUGAAUGGGAUAAGGAAGACAAAUCUAAGGGAUUUCGGGCAGAUGUUGACGUACAACACGACGAAAAUUAUUACAAAUUUAUAUAUGGAGGGAAAUUGUACUGCUGCUUUGCAACAAGAGGAAUUCGAUCAAGAAAUCGAGUACGAUGAAGAUGGUCAUCCUAUUGCACCACCAGAGAAGACUAAAAUUGAUCCGUUAACUCCGAUUGAUAAUAACGAAAUGGGUUACGAGUAAUUUGCGAAGAAUUUUUGCAAUGUGCAUGGAGAAAUUGGAAGUUUAAGCAAACAACAGAUUGAUGAUCUGAGGAAAACUCUCGUAAUAAAGGUUUCGAGAAACAUUACAUAUGUUGUAUUCAAGUUGGAAUACAACUUGAUAAAGUUAUAUAAUAUAUAACGUUAAGUUAUAUAAAAAUUAUAUUAAGUUAUAUAAAACUUAUA
Molecule: RNA transcript, 1735 nt
Organism: Odontomachus brunneus
Lineage: Eukaryota; Metazoa; Arthropoda; Insecta; Hymenoptera; Formicidae
Gene name: ATP-dependent RNA helicase DDX42-like
Exons: 9
Source: RefSeq, a predicted model, not a curated record